Long non-coding RNA from Chelonia mydas (Green sea turtle), 396 nucleotides. RefSeq lists it as uncharacterized. Lineage: Eukaryota; Metazoa; Chordata; Testudines; Cheloniidae. The transcript has 3 exons. The record is from RefSeq and is a predicted model, not a curated record.
CCUAAGCCUAGGAGCUGCAGGGACAUGCUGUUCGCUUCCGGGAGCUGCCCUGAGCACAUCUGUGGCGUCGAAGUCCAGGGUAAUUGGAACCCACAAAGGAGGAGCACUGGAGAGUCCCUCGAUGUCAACCAGGAUGGAAGAAGAGGACCGAGAACCCUCUGGUGAUGUCAUCCCCAGGAACAGGAGCAGGUACCAUGAGGGAUUUGUUGGUGAAGAUUUCCAAUGAAACUAGAGUAUAUAUGACUUCUUCAACAGCUGAUUUUAAGGUAAGUACAAGGGCUAUGAUUGUUUCAUUGUGGGGAUAAUAUGUAAAGCUAACAAGUUUCCACGAUUCAUGAUGUUUCUUUUCAAAUUCAUUGGAAUUACUUCCAAUUAUUCUUUUUAAUUCUAAGGGCA